Tyto alba (common barn owl) is the source of this 1195-nucleotide long non-coding RNA. RefSeq lists it as uncharacterized. The transcript is spliced from 4 exons. The record is from RefSeq and is a predicted model, not a curated record. Lineage: Eukaryota; Metazoa; Chordata; Aves; Strigiformes; Tytonidae.
CACUGACUGAGCACCUGAGAUAAAUGGGAACCAAGGCCAGUGCCCAGUGCCCUGCCUAAUAUUCUGGCAGCCGCUCCGGCUUUCCACCGUGGACCUUAUUCCCUCUUCAUGGUGUGGGAAGAUGGACUUUUUGUUCAAACUGUAUUUCUGAUGAGUAUCUUGAAUUCAAUAAAAGCCCCCGGGAACGUGAUUGAGUUAAAUCUGGAGAACUUUAAAAGCACAGUGAAUUUAUCAGGGAACGGAAUGAAGACCAUUGUGCUAGAGCAGCAGAAAGCUGCUGGAUGCUGGGCAGAAAAGAUGAAGAUCUGAUGCUGAGGAGAAACAAAGAUCAAGAUGUGCAGGACAGGUGGUGCCCAGACCCUCUCCAGAGGCGUGGAAACAAAUUCAGCCAGACGCUACCGAGGAGCAGUCCUGAAAUAUCCUGUGGGCAGAAGGGAUAAGGGCAAGGUCACUGUUUGGGGGCUUUGGACUCUUUCCCAUCUGCUGUCAAGGUAAACCAUCUCCUAACCUUGCAGAAACUUUUGUAUCUUCAGCAGAAAAAGUGUGUAAAGGGAAGGAGUUAAGUACAGUUUAGCAGGAAACUGUAUGGUGCAUAGAAGAAAAAUAGCUUUGAAUUUUAUAGUCAGCUUUAAUUGAUCACUUCAGCUAAUCUCUUUGAUAUCUAACUGAUGACUGCUUUAGACUUUUUUUUUUUUUUUUUUAAUGAAGGGUUGAACACUGGAUAAGAUCUUUUACAAAUACGAUUAAGGAAAUACACAAAAUCAAGAUGACUAGCUAAUGCUGCACCGCUCAGCUGGUCGAGCAGGAGAGAGGAUAAAUAUUAAAUGCAAUUUAAUAUACAACAAAUUUUCAGUGUCUGGCAUCCCAAUGCAUCAAGAAAUUUUGUUUGCUUCUGGCCAGGAAAAUAUCCUAUUCAUAUUGCUUGGGAAAAAUAAUUACACUGCUCAUGCUUAUUUACACAUUCACAGUUUGCUGGAAAAAGGCUGAUUUUCCACCAUUCACUUACAGAGUUCUUUGAAGAAUUCCUGCUAUUUCAGUAUCAGCAAUACUGUACCUGUUGGGGGCUCUUGUAACCAUUCAAGAGCACAACCCGAAUGAUGCAAGACCAAAAUAUUUCUCCUUACAAGAGACAUCCAAUGACCCAUCUAUAUUAAUGAGAAAAAAAAAAAAAAAAGUAUUAAACUCAUAAACACUU